UACGUAGGGGGCAAGCGUUAUCCGGAUUUACUGGGUGUAAAGGGAGCGUAGACGGCAGCGCAAGUCUGGAGUGAAAUGCCGGGGCCCAACCCCGGAACUGCUUUGGAAACUGUGCGGCUCGAGUGCGGGAGAGGUAGGCGGAAUUCCUAGUGUAGCGGUGAAAUGCGUAGAUAUUAGGAGGAACACCAGUGGCGAAGGCGGCUUACUGGACCGUAACUGACGUUGAGGCUCGAAAGCGUGGGGAGCAAAUAGG
Molecule: ribosomal RNA, 253 nt
Filed under: uncultured bacterium
Lineage: Bacteria
Description: partial 16S ribosomal RNA
Rfam family: Bacterial small subunit ribosomal RNA
Source: RNAcentral